Molecule: ribosomal RNA, 405 nt
Filed under: uncultured bacterium
Lineage: Bacteria
Description: partial 16S ribosomal RNA
Rfam family: Bacterial small subunit ribosomal RNA
Source: RNAcentral
AUUGAACGCUGGCGGCAGGCCUAACACAUGCAAGUCGAGCGCGCGGCGGACGGGUGAGUAAUGUAUGUGGAUCUGCCCGAUAGAGGGGGAUAACUACUCGAAAGAGUGGAUAAUACCGCAUACUAUUGGAGCGGACGAUAUCGGAUUAGCUCGUUGGUGGGGUAAAGGCUCACAAAGGCAACGAUCCGUAGCUGGUUUGAGAGGACGACCAGCCACACUGGGACUGAGACACGGCCCAGACUCCUACGGGAGGCAGCAGUGGGGAAUUUUGGACAAUGGGGGAAACCCUGAUCCAGCCAUCCCGCGUGUAUGAGAAGGCCUUCGGGUUGUAAAGUACUUUUGGCAGAGAAGCGGUAUCUGCAGAAUAAGCACCGGCUAACUACGUGCCAGCAGCCGCGGUAAUUC